CAGAAUCUUGGGUACUCUAGGUUCCGAUAGAGCCAGUUAUGAUGUAUAUCUGUGAAGGUCAUCUAGUCUAGUGUUUCCUUUAAGACCAAUGUUCCCUUGUUGACUUUUUGUCUUGAUAAUCUAUCCAUUGAUAUAAGUGCUGGAGAAAUGAAGGAGUAAAAUGAGACCUCUGAAAUACACAGAAAUAGCACCUGGAUAAUGAGCUGAUUUUUCAACAUCAACAAUGGAAGCCAAAAGACAAUGGAAUGAUAUCUUCAAAAUAAUAAAAGCAAGUAAUUUCUGACUUAGAAUUCUAUCACAGCUGAAAAUUUCUUUCAAAAAAUGAAGACAUUUUCAGAAAAACAAAAACUGAUAGAAUUAAUGAGCAGCAGACACACAUGGAGGCAAACAACAAAGAACAUUCUUCGGGUAGAAGAAAAAUGAUCUUGAAUGGCAGCUAGAAUAUGCAGGAAGGGAUGAAGAGCAACGGAAAGGGUCAUGAGCUAUAAUGAUCUUGGAUAAGAUGACCACAAGAAAAAAUUAGAGUGGGAAGAGCAGAUGCUGUCAGAAACUUUGAACUUUGGAGAACACUACUGUUUAAGGAGUGAAAGAAGAGCAGCCCAUGAAGACCAACAAAAUAACAGACAUCACUUGCAGAUGCAGGAAGAAGCCAUGAAGAGAGUAAAAUCACUGAGGACAAAGGAGUAAUCAAUAUUUUGAAAUUCAGCAGAGCAGACCAAUAAGAGUCAAUAUGUGUCCAUUGGAUUUGGUAUUUAGGAAUCGAUGUAGUUUAGUACAUCAAUAGAGAAGGCAAUUGAAAAAUUCUUAUUGACUUUGCUUAAUACUAAAUUGCUUAUGAUGAUUCAUUCAUUAAACAAAUAAUUAUUGAGCACCAA
This is a long non-coding RNA of Equus caballus (horse), 875 nucleotides long. RefSeq lists it as uncharacterized. Lineage: Eukaryota; Metazoa; Chordata; Mammalia; Perissodactyla; Equidae. The record is from RefSeq and is a predicted model, not a curated record.